CCUGCGCAUCGGUCGAAUGUUCCACUAUCGCUCACUUCUUACCUCUGCUAAAAUUGUAGGUUCAGACCGAUAUUUCUAUUUUUAGACAGGAAAAUCCGUGUCUACACUUCAGCCAAUCAGUGACUAGCUUACUUGUAACGAAUUGUCACAUGCCUGAAUUUGACGCACCGUAAUGUAAACAAUGCGUGUUUAUUUGUACUUUACUUAAAAUUGUUUUUAUUAAACGUUUCUAAUAAAUGACCCAAUAAAGCUACCAAAAUGGUUAAUUUGCGAUAAUAUAUUAUUUACGGAUCGUCAAUUGUAAUGGAGUCUACGUAAACGGUAGCUCAAUACGAAUACUGGCUGCAAGAAAGUUCACUUCAGGCCGUUAAAAUGAUUUUUCUUAUAUUUUCUCACAGACACUUGGAGUGUAGAGCUCAAAGUUAAAAUCCUUUAAAAUCCAAAUAAAAUGUAUAUUUGUAAAUCCCAGCACAUGUACUGAUCAUAAAUAUCAAUUAAAACUUAAUAAAGGCCGUUUUUGAAAAAAAAAAAACAAAAAAAAACAUAUUUCAACGUCUAUAAUAAUCAUACAUACAAAUUCAGUAUCAUCUAACUUUAAUGAUGGUCAUUUAAGAAAAUCCAAGAUAAUAUUUGACGUACUUUCUUAGCCUGUGUUUUUCAUGGAUGGGCAGGUUUUGUAGGUGAUAUACAUGUAUGUGCAAAAUGACAUACAUACUACAUACAUAUAUCUGCAGACUCAACCAACACUAUUUUACACAUCAAUAGUAAAUCUGCAUUGGUUACUCAUUUGAAAUUCAGGUAUUUUAUUUAAUAAUAUUGUAGUCAAUCAGGAGCCACAAGCUUGUCCAUUAAUAUCAAUAAGGGCUGUCAAUAGAACAGUUGUUCUAUUCAACUAUACUCAGCACUUGAUGGAAAAUGUUUGAAUUAACUAAGGAAUAUUUUAUUUAUUUACAUAUGAUCAAGUCUUGCAUUUUUUAAUGUUCGCAUGAGGCCAUAUUUCAUUUAAAAUUCACAAGUUAUGAGCCUUUGACAGAGACAUCCAAAGUAUACUAUUUUUAAGUUUCAAGAUUAAUUUUGCAGGCAAAACAUUCACCUGUACUAAAUCAGAAGUUCAGAGGGUCAUACUUCUGUCAAAAUCCAUGCUAGAGUGUGUGCAAAGUCUUUUACACAUAAAAGAUUUCAAACCAAGGUGAAGUGCAAGCCAUUAGUUGCACGAAAAACAUUAAGAUGUGACACUAAUGAAGAAUUCCAGGUGUAAAGGAUAGUCCCAUUUUUCUUCAAAUAGUUAAGUUAAAACAAUAACUGCACUGUAGAUCAUCAAUGAAUUUAUUUCACACCUGUAAGUCUUCAUUUUCAAAACAAUAUGCAAUAUGAAAUAACAAAUGCAAUAUUUUAUUGAUUUAACAUACACCUAAAUAUAAUGUAUAAAGGGUUGAUCACAAAAAGUCAUAACAAAAAUAAGAGUACAUAAGUUGGCUGUAAGGUCACUCACAAUCACAGGGAUAAAUUGACAAAUAUCUUUUCCUAUGAAAUUAACAUCCUAAGUCAAUAGUAACAAUAGAAAAACAAGAUCAAACUUGACCAGAACACUAAAUAUAUAUAUAGGUUGGGAUAAUCUAGUUAUUGAGUAGGCAAUAUAUAUUUAAGAUAAGUUGGAUAUUUCAGGUUUUAAAGUACAAUUUAUGCCUUCAGUACUGGUUUAAUACUUAACUUUCUGAGUCAGACACCCAGUCAUAUUGUUACUAAGUUCAGUGAAAUUAUGAUACCCAUUCACAUUGUUACAUUGUAAAAUGUCUACUAAAUAUGUAUUAAAUCAAAGCAAGAGCCUACAUAUUAUUAUUUUAUUUAGGUAAAUCAAUGGUAAUAAUUUAAUAAACUUCAUUCAAAAUUGUUUUUAAUUAAACUACAAUGGUCAGCAUUAUUUAGAAUAUAAUCAGAAGUAACUUAAGACACUAAAGGUAUAUCAAUUCUGUCUAAUUGUACACAAGUAAACAAAAACCUCCUUUUCUGUUAAACUGUUUUAGGAAUUCUAAGCUUUAUCAUCAAGUAUGGAAGUUAACUUAUCAAUAAUUUCUCAAAUAAUGACAUAGAAAAUCAUUCAAAAGAAAAAAAAUACGACGCGCGUCUGUAAUAUAGGUCCCCGGGGCGGGACCAAUUUUAACCCAGGGAUGUUAUUUGUACAAACUUGGUAGACACCCAUUUGAAGAUGUUUCAUGAUGAAUAUCUAAGCUCUAAAUCCAAGAAAGUUUUUAAGUUUUUACUAUAUUUACUAUACACAUAUAGGGAACGAGAAAGACCACCAAUCCCCUCCCGCCCCCCCCCCCGGCAGGGUUAUUAAGAAGAUUUUUUGCCAGCAGUAUAAAGCCAGGCUAUGGAGACUGAACAGGAUCCACACUGUUGUCUUACUAACUUUAACUUUUCAUCCUGAUGAAUAAUGUACCCAAAAUGAUAAUAAACACUUUUAAAUAUGAAAGCCAGACAUGUCCAUUUAUAAACUCUACAGGCUAAGGGUUGAAAUAAUUUUGCAUCAAUGCUCUCAUUGUGCAAGAUUCAAAAUCAAAUAGGUAACAUCUAAAAGCAUUUAAAGAAAGGCUGCAAGUCUUAUUAUGUUGUAAUGAAUGACAAAUAUCCCAUAAAUAAUUUCAUGUUAAAGCAAAACUGUUAGUUCAGACAUUACAAGUUGAAUUAAAAAAUCUAACUUAGGAUCAGGAACCAUAUUCCUAAACAAAUAUAAUCAUGCAGGAUUUAUGCAGCUUGUUCUAUGAUAUGAUGCUAAUGUGAAACAAAUGUCCCCAGUUCAAAUGCUAUCAUUUACAAUGUAAUAAUAACAUAGGUUCCAGCAGAUCUACAUUUAUUUAAGACUAUGAAAGAAAUAGACAUAACUCAUUGUUAAUUAAUUAAAAGUGCUAUCUCAUUUAUAAAUAUGCAACAGUCAUAACAUAGAUACUGUAAACACCCUAAAAAUUCAAAUUUAUA
Long non-coding RNA from Ruditapes philippinarum (Manila clam), 2976 nucleotides. RefSeq lists it as uncharacterized. The record is from RefSeq and is a predicted model, not a curated record. Lineage: Eukaryota; Metazoa; Mollusca; Bivalvia; Venerida; Veneridae. The transcript is spliced from 3 exons.